ACUCCUACGGGAGGCAGCAGUGGGGAAUAUUGGACAAUGGGGGCAACCCUGAUCCGCAGCCAUGCGCGUGAUGAGUCGAAUUGGUAAGGCCAAUUUGGUUGUCAAAGCAUUCAUUGAAGCAGGGGAGGAGAGGCUAAUGGUUAAUACCCAUUAGAUUAGACGUUACCUGCAGAAUAAGCACCGGCUAACUCUGUGCCAGCAGCCGCGGUAAUACAGAGGGUGCGAGCGUUAAUCGGAAUUACUGGGCGUAAAGCGAGUGUAGGUGGCUCAUUAAGUCACAUGUGAAAUCCCCGGGCUUAACCUGGGAACUGCAUGUGAUACUGGUGGUGCUAGAAUAUGUGAGAGGGAAGUAGAAUUCCAGGUGUAGCGGUGAAAUGCNUAGAGAUCUGGAGGAAUACCGAUGGCGAAGGCAGCUUCCUGGCAUAAUAUUGACACUGAGAUUCGAAAGCGUGGGUAGCAAACAGGAUUAGAUACCCUGGUA
RNAcentral lists this ribosomal RNA (481 nucleotides) under uncultured bacterium. RNAcentral's name for it is "bacterial SSU rRNA". It matches the Rfam family "Bacterial small subunit ribosomal RNA", at positions 335 to 792 of the family's 1533-position model. The record is from RNAcentral.